This 382-nucleotide ribosomal RNA is filed under the name uncultured bacterium. RNAcentral's name for it is "partial 16S ribosomal RNA". It matches the Rfam family "Bacterial small subunit ribosomal RNA", at positions 338 to 734 of the family's 1533-position model. The record is from RNAcentral.
CCUACGGGUGGCAGCAGUGGGGAAUAUUGGGCAAUGGAGGCAACUCUGACCCAGCAACGCCGCGUGAAUGAUGAAGGUCUUCGGAUUGUAAAGUUCUGUGAUGGGGGAUGAACACAAUGACGGUACCCCAAUAGCAAGCCACGGCUAACUACGUGCAAGCAGCCGCGGAAAUCCGUAGGUGGCAAGCGUUAUCUGGAAUGACUGGGCGUAAAGGGUGUGUAGGUGGUUUAGUAAGUUGGCGGUGUAAUUCCGGGGCUCAACCUUGGCGCUACCGACAACACUAGUAGACUAGAGUGCCGGAGAGGUAAGUAGAAUUCCUGGUGUAGCGGUGGAAGGCGUAGAGAUUAGGAGGAACAUCAGGGGCGAAGGCGACUUACUGGAC